UGAUACUCGAACAGGAGUUAUUUCUAGUGAUAGUUUCACCAGUAUCGACACACGACGCGAAGCAUACAAAGAUGAUCAACUCAUAUAUGCGUCACAAGCCAAACAAGUGUUCUACAUCAGAGUGCCAAACAAUAACCAUCAGUGUGUUGUCGAGCAUGUUAAUCAUCGAAGUAUUUGGGAUCUACCAUCGAACGAUGACCUUGUUCAAAAUGUUGACAAUGUCUCACACGAAAAUGUAGACGAUGUCGAUGUACUUCAAAAUAUCUCUUCAUCCGAUGCUCCACUUUUUAUCGAUUUCAGCAUGUACUUUCAAAACAUUCCUAGAGUCANUCAGCAUGUAUUUCAAAACAUUCCUAGAGUCAUUGUUGAUGUAUAAAGUGCAUCUGAAGUUCCUCCGCCAACUAGUAGAGUUAAUGAUGUUUCUGAUUGCGAGACUGAUUACGAUGACACCGAUUCUGACUAUGAUACCGAAGAAGACACUGAAGGAUAUGAGGAAGAUUCUGAUUAGAAUAGUUCUUAUGUAAUGUGUAUUUGUAAUAUGUGUUUGUAAUAUGAACUUUAUUUGGAUUUCUAGUUUAAAU
Molecule: long non-coding RNA, 581 nt
Filed under: Lactuca sativa (garden lettuce)
Lineage: Eukaryota; Viridiplantae; Streptophyta; Magnoliopsida; Asterales; Asteraceae
Description: long non-coding RNA (LSAT_LNC007559)
Source: RNAcentral